UACGUAGGGUGCAAGCGUUGUCCGGAAUUAUUGGGCGUAAAGAGCUCGUAGGCGGUUUGUCGCGUCUGCUGUUAAAUCUGGGGGCUCAACCCCCAGCCUGCAGUGGGUACGGGCAGACUAGAGUGCGGUAGGGGAGAUUGGAAUUCCUGGUGUAGCGGUGGAAUGCGCAGAUAUCAGGAGGAACACCGAUGGCGAAGGCAGAUCUCUGGGCCGUAACUGACGCUGAGGAGCGAAAGCAUGGGGAGCGAACAGG
This 253-nucleotide ribosomal RNA is filed under the name uncultured bacterium. RNAcentral's name for it is "partial 16S ribosomal RNA". It matches the Rfam family "Bacterial small subunit ribosomal RNA", at positions 524 to 776 of the family's 1533-position model. The record is from RNAcentral.